GCGCAGCAGGCGAGAAUACUUUACAAUGUGCGAAAGCACGAUAAGGGAACUCUGAGUGCCUCCUAAGGAGGCUGUUCAGGUGUCUAAAAAGCACCUGGAGUAAGGGCUGGGUAAGACCGGUGCCAGCCGCCGCGGUAACACCGGCAGCCCAGGUGGUAGCCACUUUUAUUGGGUCUAAAGCGUCCGUAGCCGGUUGAGUAAGUUCCUUGGGAAAUUUGGCUGCUCAACAGUCAAGCUUCCAGGGAAUACUGCUCGACUUGGGGACUGGGAGAGGUCAGAGGUACUCCAGGGGUAGGGGUGAAAUCCAUUAAUCCCUGGGGGACCACCGGUAGCGAAGGCGUCUGACCAGACCAGGUCCGACGGUGAGGGACGAAGGCUAGGGGCGCGAACCGGAUUAGAUA
RNAcentral lists this ribosomal RNA (401 nucleotides) under uncultured microorganism. Its description in RNAcentral is "bacterial SSU rRNA". It matches the Rfam family "Archaeal small subunit ribosomal RNA", at positions 330 to 735 of the family's 1478-position model. The record is from RNAcentral.